AUUGAACGCUGGCGGCAGGCUUAACACAUGCAAGUCGAGCGAGCGGCGGACGGGUGAGUAAUGUCUGGGAAACUGCCUGAUGGAGGGGGAUAACUACUGGAAACGGUAGCUAAUACCGCAUACCAUCAGAUGUGCCCAGAUGGGAUUAGCUAGUAGGUGGGGUAAUGGCUCACCUAGGCGACGAUCCCUAGCUGGUCUGAGAGGAUGACCAACCACAAUGGAAAUGAGAAACGGGCCAGACGCCUACGGGAGGAAGCAGUGGGGAAUAUUGCAAAAUGGGCGAAAGCCUGAUGAAGCAAUGCCGCGUGUGUGAAGAAGGCCUUCGGGUUGUAAAGCACUUUCAGCGAGGAGGCGGUACUCGCAGAAGAAGCACCGGCUAACUCCGUGCCAGCAGCAGAGGUAAUUCC
Molecule: ribosomal RNA, 407 nt
Filed under: uncultured bacterium
Lineage: Bacteria
Description: partial 16S ribosomal RNA
Rfam family: Bacterial small subunit ribosomal RNA
Source: RNAcentral